This 582-nucleotide ribosomal RNA is filed under the name uncultured fungus. Its description in RNAcentral is "eukaryotic LSU rRNA". It matches the Rfam family "Eukaryotic large subunit ribosomal RNA", at positions 40 to 647 of the family's 3401-position model. Lineage: Eukaryota; Fungi. The record is from RNAcentral.
AUAUCAAUAAGCGGAGGAAAAGAAACCAACAGGGAUUGCCCCAGUAACGGCGAGUGAAGCGGCAACAGCUCAAAUUUGAAAUCUGGCCCCUAGGGUCCGAGUUGUAAUUUGCAGAGGAUGCUUUUGACAAGGUGCCUUCCGAGUUCCCUGGAACGGGACGCCAUAGAGGGUGAGAGCCCCGUCUGGUCGGAUACCGCGUCUCUGUAAAGCUCCUUCGACGAGUCGAGUAGUUUGGGAAUGCUGCUCAAAAUGGGAGGUAUAUGUCUUCUAAAGCUAAAUAUUGGCCAGAGACCGAUAGCGCACAAGUAGAGUGAUCGAAAGAUGAAAAGCACUUUGAAAAGAGGGUUAAAAAGUACGUGAAAUUGUUGAAAGGGAAGCGCCUAUGACCAGACUUGGGCCCGGUGAAUCAUCCAGCGUUCUCGCUGGUGCACUUUGCCGGGCACAGGCCAGCAUCAGUUUGGCUUGGGGGAAAAAGGCUUUGGGAAUGUAGCUCCUCGGAGUGUUAUAGACCUUUGCAUAAUACCCUGGGCCGGACUGAGGUUCGCGCAUCUGCAAGGAUGCUGGCGUAAUGGUCAUCAGCGA